AAGUCGUAACAAGGUUUUCGUAGGUGAACCUGCGGAAGGAUCAUUAGUGAAUAUUGGAUUCCUCUGCAAAGAGAAGGUCCAUUUCCACUUUACACACACUUGUGCAUUUGUAUUUUUUACAAUUAAUUUUGUAAACCCUUAUGUUAGAAGUUCAUAAAGUUGUUGAUGAAACAAUUUGAUAAAAAUGAAAGUAAAA
RNAcentral lists this unclassified non-coding RNA (196 nucleotides) under plant metagenome. RNAcentral's name for it is "partial contains small subunit ribosomal RNA and internal transcribed spacer 1". The stretch from base 1 to 46 matches the Rfam family "Eukaryotic small subunit ribosomal RNA", at positions 1786 to 1831 of the family's 1831-position model. The record is from RNAcentral.